Molecule: ribosomal RNA, 432 nt
Filed under: uncultured bacterium
Lineage: Bacteria
Description: partial 16S ribosomal RNA
Rfam family: Bacterial small subunit ribosomal RNA
Source: RNAcentral
AACGAACGCUGGCGGCAUGCCUAACACAUGCAAGUCGAACGAGACCUUCGGGUCUAGUGGCGCACGGGUGCGUAACGCGUGGGAACCUGCCCUUAGGUUCGGAAUAACUCCCCGAAAGGGGUGCUAAUACCGGAUAAUGUCUUCGGACCAAAGAUUUAUCGCCUUUGGAUGGGCCCGCGUUGGAUUAGCUAGUUGGUAGGGUAAAAGCCUACCAAGGCGACGAUCCAUAGCUGGUCUGAGAGGAUGAUCAGCCACACUGGGACUGAGACACGGCCCAGACUCCUACGGGAGGCAGCAGGGGGGAAUAUUGGACAAUGGGCGAAAGCCUGAUCCAGCAAUGCCGGGUGAGUGAUGAAGGCCUUAGGGUUGUAAAGCUCUUUUACCCGGGAUGAAAUGACAGUACCGGGAGAAUAAGCUCCGGCUAACUCCGUG